AAUCAAUGAACUUGUAAAGUAUAUAUUUUGAAAAUAUAAUAAAGAGGAUUCUACCCUCUAUUGAUUU
RNAcentral lists this transfer RNA (67 nucleotides) under Syneta adamsi. Its description in RNAcentral is "tRNA-Ser". Lineage: Eukaryota; Metazoa; Arthropoda; Insecta; Coleoptera; Chrysomelidae. The record is from RNAcentral.